AGCUCAGUUGGUUAGAACAUGGUGCUGAUAACGGCAAGGUUGCAGGUUCAAUCUGGGACAGCUGCAUAUUCCUGC
This is a non-coding RNA of Podarcis lilfordi (Lilford's wall lizard), 75 nucleotides long. The record is from the annotation of a GenBank genome assembly. Lineage: Eukaryota; Metazoa; Chordata; Lepidosauria; Squamata; Lacertidae.